AACGAACGCUGGCGGCAGGCUUAACACAUGCAAGUCGAGCGGACACUUUCGGGUGUCAGCGGCGGACUGGUGAGUAACGCGGGGUAACGUGCCCUCUGGUUCGGAAUAACUCAGGGAAACUUGAGCUAAUACCGGAUACGCUCUUUUGGGGAAAUGCUUUCAGCCGGAAGAUCGGCACGCGUCGGAUUAUCUAGCUGGCGAGGUAACGGCUCUCCGAGGCGCCGAUCCGUAUCUGGUGUGAGAGGAUGAGCAGCAACACUGGUACUGAGACACGGCCAGGAAUCCUACGGGAAGGAGCAGUGGGGGAUCGUGGAAAAUCGGCGCGAGCCAGAACGAGCCAUGCAGCGUGAGUGAUGAAGACCUUAGGGUAGUAAAGCUCUUUUAAACGGGACGAUAAUGACGGUAACGGAGGCAGAAGCCCCGGCCAACCUAGUGC
This 436-nucleotide ribosomal RNA is filed under the name uncultured bacterium. RNAcentral's name for it is "partial 16S ribosomal RNA". It matches the Rfam family "Bacterial small subunit ribosomal RNA", at positions 29 to 508 of the family's 1533-position model. The record is from RNAcentral.